Molecule: ribosomal RNA, 3260 nt
Filed under: Pogostemon cablin (patchouli)
Lineage: Eukaryota; Viridiplantae; Streptophyta; Magnoliopsida; Lamiales; Lamiaceae
Description: bacterial LSU rRNA
Rfam family: Bacterial large subunit ribosomal RNA
Source: RNAcentral
UUAAGGGCGCACGGUGGAUGCCUUGGCACCAGGAGCCGAUGAAGGACGUAGGAGGCUGCGAUAAGCCUCGGGGAGCUGUCAACCGAGCGUUGAUCCGAGGAUUUCCGAAUGGGGGAACCCCGCACCAGUCAUGUGGUGUGACCCGCGCCUGAAUAUAUAGGGCGUGUGGAGGGAACGUGGGGAAGUGAAACAUCUCAGUACCCACAGGAAGAGAAAACAACAGUGAUUCCGUGAGUAGUGGCGAGCGAAAGCGGAUGAGGCCAAACCAUGUGCAUGUGAUAGCCGGCAGGUGUUGUGCAUGUGGGGUUGUGGGACGUUGCGUACUCCACUGCCGUGGGGUGAGGCAGUCAUAAAGGUGUGGUGUUAGUGGAAGGCCUCUGGAAGGGGUCGCCGUAGAGGGUGAGAGCCCCGUACACGAAAACUCAUGCCCUGUCUUGGAGCGUAUCCCAAGUAGCACCGAGCUCGUGGAAUUCGGUGUGAAUCUGGCGGGACCACCCGCUAAGCCUGAAUACUCCCUGGUGACCGAUAGCGGACAAGUACCGUGAGGGAAAGGUGAAAAGUACCCCGGGAGGGGAGUGAAAUAGUACCUGAAACCGUGUGCCUACAAGCCGUGAGAGCCUUACGCAUCCUUGUGGUGUGGGGGUGAUUGCGUGCCUUUUGAAGAAUGAGCCUGCGAGUUAGCGGUACGUGGCGAGGUUAACCCGUGUGGGGUAGCCGUAGCGAAAGCGAGUCCGAAUAGGGCGUUUCUAGUCGCGUGCUCUAGACCCGAAGCCGAGUGAUCUACCCAUGGCCAGGUUGAAGCGCGGGUAAGACCGCGUGGAGGACCGAACCCACUUCGGUUGAAAACGGAGGGGAUGAGCUGUGGGUAGGGGUGAAAGGCCAAUCAAACUCGGUGAUAGCUGGUUCUCCCCGAAAUGCAUUUAGGUGCAGCGUCGCGUGUUUCUUGCCGGAGGUAGAGCACUGGAUGGUCUAGGGGCCCCACAAGGUUACUGAAAUCAACCAAACUCCGAAUGCCGGUAAGUGAGAGCGCGGCAGUGAGACUGCGGGCGAUAAGGUUCGUAGUCGAGAGGGAAACAGCCCAGAUCAUCAGCUAAGGCCCCUAAGCGUGUGCUAAGUGGAAAAGGAUGUGGAGUCGCAGUGACAACCAGGAGGUUGGCUUAGAAGCAGCCACCCUUGAAAGAGUGCGUAAUAGCUCACUGGUCAAGUGAUUCCGCGCCGACAAUGUAGCGGGGCUCAAGCACACCGCCGAAGCUAUGGCACUCCCAUGUAGCCCGCCGUCAGUCUCAUGAUUGUCGGCCAGGUGUGGGGGUGGGUAGGGGAGCGUCGUGUGGGGGUUGAAGCGGCGGAGUGAUCCAGCCGUGGACGCCACACGAGUGAGAAUGCAGGCAUGAGUAGCGAAAGGGGAGUGAGAAACUCCCCCGCCGGAUGACCAAGGGUUCCUGGGCCAGGCUAAUCCGCCCAGGGUGAGUCGGGACCUAAGGCGAGGCCGACAGGCGUAGUCGAUGGACAACGGGUUGAUAUUCCCGUACCCGCGAAAGAGCGCCCAUGCUGAACCUAGCGAUGCUAACCAUCUGAAGCCCCGUGACUUCAGGCCUUCGGGUCUGUGGCGUGUGGGUGGAACGUGGGACCCGGACUGGUAGUAGGCAAGCGAUGGGGUGACGCAGGAAGGUAGUCCUACCGGUGAGUGGUAGUACCGGUGCAAGGGUGUGGCCCGUCCGAUAGGUAAAUCCGUCGGACAUGUGGGUGAGGCCUGAUGCAUAGCCGAAUGAGGUGAAUGGGAUGAUCCUAUGCUGCCGAGAAAAGCCUCUAGCGAGCUCUGAGCGGCCCGUACCCCAAACCAACUCAGGUGGUCAGGUAGAGAAUACCGAGGCGAUCGAGCGAACUGUGGUUAAGGAACUCGGCAAAAUGCCCCCGUAACUUCGGGAGAAGGGGGGCCACCGACCGUCAACACCUUCACGGUGGGUAGCGGUGGGUGGCCGCAGAGACCAGUGAGAAGCGACUGUUUACUAAAAACACAGGUCCGUGCGAAGUCGAAAGACGAUGUAUACGGACUGACGCCUGCCCGGUGCUGGAACGUUAAGGGGACGGGUUAGCUGCUUCGGUGGCGAAGCUCAGAACUCAAGCGCCAGUAAACGGCGGUGGUAACUAUAACCAUCCUAAGGUAGCGAAAUUCCUUGUCGGGUAAGUUCCGACCUGCACGAAUGGCGUAACGACUUCUCAGCUGUCUCAACCACAGGCUCGGCGAAAUUGCACUACGAGUAAAGAUGCUCGUUACGCGCGGCAGGACGGAAAGACCCCGGGACCUUCACUAUAGCUUGAUAUUGGUGUUCGGUUCGGUUUGUGUAGGAUAGGUGGGAGACUGUGAAGCGGGCACGCCAGUGUUCGUGGAGUCGUCGUUGAAAUACCACUCUGGUCGAAUUGGAUGUCUAACCUCGGUCCGUGAUCCGGAUCAGGGACAGUGUCAGGUGGGUAGUUUAACUGGGGCGGUUGCCUCCCAAAAUGUAACGGAGGCGCCCAAAGGUUCCCUCAGCCUGGUUGGCAAUCAGGUGUCGAGUGCAAGUGCACAAGGGAGCUUGACUGUGAGACCGACGGGUCGAGCAGGAGCGAAAGCUGGGACUAGUGACCCGGCACCGGCAUGUGGAAGCGGUGUCGCUCAACGGAUAAAAGGUACCCCGGGGAUAACAGGCUGAUCUUCCCCAAGAGUCCAUAUCGACGGGAUGGUUUGGCACCUCGAUGUCGGCUCGUCGCAUCCUGGGGCUGGAGUAGGUCCCAAGGGUUGGGCUGUUCGCCCAUUAAAGCGGUACGCGAGCUGGGUUUAGAACGUCGUGAGACAGUUCGGUCCCUNNNNNNNNNNNUGGCACCUCGAUGUCGGCUCGUCGCAUCCUGGGGCUGGAGUAGGUCCCAAGGGUUGGGCUGUUCGCCCAUUAAAGCGGUACGCGAGCUGGGUUUAGAACGUCGUGAGACAGUUCGGUCCCUAUCCGCCGUGCGCGUAAGAGACUUGAGAAGAGCUGUCCCUAGUACGAGAGGACCGGGACGGACGAACCUCUGGUGUGCCAGUUGUUCCGCCAGGAGCACUGCUGGUUGGCUACGUUCGGCAGGGAUAACCGCUGAAAGCAUCUAAGCGGGAAGCUCGCUUCAAGAUGAGGUCUCUCACCCCUCGAGGGGUAAGGCCCCCGCCCAGACCAGCGGGUUGAUAGGCCGGAAGUGGAAGCACAGCAAUGUGUGGAGCUGACCGGUACUAAUAGGCCGAGGACUUGACC